This 458-nucleotide ribosomal RNA is filed under the name uncultured bacterium. RNAcentral's name for it is "bacterial SSU rRNA". It matches the Rfam family "Bacterial small subunit ribosomal RNA", at positions 34 to 507 of the family's 1533-position model. The record is from RNAcentral.
CGCUGGCGGCGUGCUUAACACAUGGCAAGUCGAACGGUAAGGCCCUUCGGGGUACACGAGUGGCGAACGGGUGAGUAACACGUGGGUGAUCUGCCCUGCACUUCGGGAUAAGCCUGGGAAACUGGGUCUAAUACCGGAUAGGACCAUGGACUUCACGGUUUGUGGUGGAAAGCUUUUGCGGUGUGGGAUGGGGCCCGCGGCCUAUCAGCUUGUUGGUGGGGUAAUGGCCUACCAAGGCGACGACGGGUAGCCGGCCUGAGAGGGUGUCCGGCCACACUGGGACUGAGAUACGGCCCAGACUCCUACGGGAGGCAGCAGUGGGGAAUAUUGCACAAUGGGCGCAAGCCUGAUGCAGCGACGCCGCGUGAGGGAUGACGGCCUUCGGGUUGUAAACCUCUUUCAAUAGGGACGAAGCGCAAGUGACGGUACCUAUAGAAGAAGCACCGGCCAACUACGUG